AGUAGUGUCAUUAUUUGUCAUUAUUACUUUUAAUAUAUUUGUGGUAUUUAGCUAUACGCGUUCGUAUGUAACGGAAAUCAGCCUUCCGUGUAAUUUUGUACGUCACGCAUUGCGGCAAAACUUUUAGCGCGUGCGCGGAAAUAGCACGCGUAAAUGCGAGUAAGGUACUGAGCGGAUGUGAUGUAAUGUGUUGUAAACCUGUUUGUCCAGUACGUAUUGUCUAUGUAUAGAAUACCUAGUAUUGAAUGUAGGGUAAUUUACCUGGUGCACUGGUCACUUUGAACAGAGCGGCCAGAGCGAGCACAGCGAACAUUUGUACACCUAUAUCUUUACCUAGCCAGCAUAGGAAUUAAAAGAGGUAGCGGGCACUAGAGCCAAAAGCAAAUAAUCUUACAUUGAACGAGUAAGACUGAGGACUCGGCGGACUUUGUCCGAGAAAACCCUCUUCACAUUGAAGAGGGUUUUUACUUACGUAAUAAAUUAACUGAGAAAAGAACCCAGGAGUUGUCGUAUAUCCACGAUAAAAGACGACUAUUACAAAAG
Molecule: long non-coding RNA, 543 nt
Filed under: Mizuhopecten yessoensis (Yesso scallop)
Lineage: Eukaryota; Metazoa; Mollusca; Bivalvia; Pectinida; Pectinidae
Description: uncharacterized LOC110451151
Source: RNAcentral